AGGUCGCAGGUCUACGUGGGGGAUCGUGGGGGAAUUGUACUUUGUAAAGGAAACCAAAGUGCCUCAAGAGAACCCACAAACAUGGAGUUCAAUUUCAACUUCAAAGCUUGGGCAGAAUACUUUCUCUGUGUUACCGCUGAUCAACGAACAGGAAGGAAUGAUGCCAGAGUGAGAAAAGGGUCAGGAAGAGCUGUCACUGUUCCUGUCCGCCUGAGAUACUGUGUCUACCACAGUCUUUCCUCUGGGACUGAGGUAACACAUCACCUCCACAGUUUGAUCCCAUGAGAUGUCACACUUCCUCAAACUCACUGGUAAACCCCUGCAAUCUCUUGCUUCCCUAAACACCAUAUGCCUGUCUUAUACUUAAAAACCCUUUGUUCGCUGUUCUAUUUUGAGUUUUACAGCUUUUACUGAAUCUUGCAACACUUUAAAAUCUUACCUGCAUAAUGUAUGACCAGAAUCAGAAUCUUUAGUAUAGCUAAAAAAAAAAAAAUAGACUUGAAGUUAAAGUCAAAUCCUGUCAAGUCAAAUUUAAUUUGCUUGCAUUUUUUUCCCUAUGCUUGUGUGGGUUAACUGUUAAACAAGCAAAUUUUAAAGCUCAAGUUUCUGUGAAGAAGAUUCAGAGAUCGGUUUCUGUUAGUGUUAUAUAAUCUUGAAAAUAUGUGCUAUAAACUUGUGAAGCAUCUAACAACAAUAUACAGUUGUUCUGAGUAGAAUUUGUGGUUGUGAUUUGCAUGAAGUGUAAGAAAUCUUUAAAAAAAAAUGAAAUGUGAAAGGAGCAAAUAAUUUUCUUUUUUUUUUUCAUUUGAUUGUGUAGCAUAGCAUUUGUACAUUAUUAUGAGCUAGUGUCAUAUUUCCCAUGUCACUCAGGUAUCAUGAACCUUAGCCCCAGUUCAUGAAUAGGAUGUGUGCUAUGUUCUUACAUGAUUAAAAGGGGCAAUUGGUCUUCCCAGGGGCCACAUGAAAAACUUGGACUGUUGUGGAGGGUUGCAGUAAUGAGCUUAUAAAGAGAUAAAUUAAUACUGAGCAGAAUCAUGUUCAGCUUAUUGGCAUCAUCCUCUAAACUAGUACCAGUUUUUUAAGUGGUCCCUUGGGAAAAUUAAUUGCCCACCCCUUAUCUUUUGGGAAUUUCCACUUAAGUAAAACCAUUGGGUGUCAUGAUUUAAACAUUGGGUUUCCAUCUUUUUUACAUUUUUUUUUAAAUAGUCAGUUACCCUAUACCAGAAUAUGACAUAAUGAUCCUAAAUACAUACAUACUACUCUUUUCUUUCCUCUGGAGUUUUUUUUACUGUCUGACCUCAUGCCAGUAAAGUUGCAAGGCCUUAGGCUUUUUGGUGGCUUACCUGGAAAGCGGGCGGCAAAAAGCUGCAAUCAAGGCAGACAGUUGCCAACAGCUUUCACUCUGUACAGGGAAAAAAAACACUGACAUCCUGUUAGAGCUGGAUGUUAUCAGAUCAAUCUAUCAGUUUGUGUGUGUUAAUACAUCCAGGCUUUAGGCAGACGGUGGCCUAGGAAAAGUGAUGUUCUCUCUCUGCAGUAUGCAAAUUAUAUGCAGAUUCUACGGAAAUCAUGCUCUUGUUAGCCCCUCAAGCCCUUUACCAAUGCCAAAACAGUGACACAGAGUUGAAACUGAAAAGCUCUGACACUGAAAAGAAGCUGUCAGCACAGAAGAAAAAAGUCAGAGUGAAAAGACUGGCAAGAAGAAAAAGCAAAUCUGAAGUUGGGGCU
Molecule: long non-coding RNA, 1728 nt
Organism: Oreochromis niloticus (Nile tilapia)
Lineage: Eukaryota; Metazoa; Chordata; Actinopteri; Cichliformes; Cichlidae
Exons: 3
Source: RefSeq, a predicted model, not a curated record